AAACCUACGGGGCGCAGCAGUAAGGAAUAUUGGUCAAUGGGCGGGAGCCUGAACCAGCCAAGUCGCGUGAGGGAAGACGGUCCUACGGAUUGUAAACCUCUUUUGCCGGGGAGCAACGGGGUCCUUGCGAGGGCCCGAUGAGAGUACCUGAAGAAAAAGCAUCGGCUAACUCCGUGCCAGCAGCCGCGGUAAUACGGAGGAUGCGAGCGUUAUCCGGAUUUAUUGGGUUUACAGGGUGCGCAGGCGGCCUGUUAAGUCAGCGGUAAAAGCCCGGGGCUCAACCCCGGCUAGCCGUUGAAACUGGG
This 305-nucleotide ribosomal RNA is filed under the name uncultured bacterium. RNAcentral describes it as "bacterial SSU rRNA". It matches the Rfam family "Bacterial small subunit ribosomal RNA", at positions 335 to 637 of the family's 1533-position model. The record is from RNAcentral.